RNAcentral lists this unclassified non-coding RNA (494 nucleotides) under Hevea brasiliensis (rubber tree). Lineage: Eukaryota; Viridiplantae; Streptophyta; Magnoliopsida; Malpighiales; Euphorbiaceae. The record is from RNAcentral.
UGUUUGAGUAUUUUGAGGCUUGAGUUAUAUUGUUGUGACUUUGUGUAUGUGUUUUGGGUUCUAUUUAGCUGCUAAAACGGUGUGAAAUGAUGAUGGAAUGAUUCUAUUAUUAAGUAAAUUGAUGCAUUUUUAUGAUUCAUAUUGGCAUAACAAGAAGGGAAUAUAUGUAAUUUAUCCAAUCGCGAGUAAAUAGAUAAAAUUAUAAAGAUCACAAUAUGGGCACAAAUGAGACUUGGCAUUUAUGACCCAAAGAUAGAUUUUGAAAGGAAAGGCAUUGUUUGAGUCCAAAAAUAACCUUAAUUCAGUAAUUAGAUGAUAUGUAGAUUGUUAUAUUGCGUUGUAUAAAAAAUAAAAUGCAUUUCCCGUAUUGCAAUUUUGUUUCUAUUAAUUGAUUUAAUCCCAUAUAUUUUCAGUGAACUUGAGGUUUUUACAGUGUAGCGACAUGAGAAUAUGCUUGACUUUCUACUUGCUACACACUCUCAGUUGGCCAUUAA